Molecule: unclassified non-coding RNA, 338 nt
Filed under: uncultured Orbilia
Lineage: Eukaryota; Fungi; Ascomycota; Orbiliomycetes; Orbiliales; Orbiliaceae
Description: sequence contains ITS1
Rfam family: 5.8S ribosomal RNA (bases 1-105)
Source: RNAcentral
GAAACGCGAUAGUUAAUGUGAAUUGCAGAAUUCAGUGAAUCAUCGAGUCUUUGAACGCACAUUGCGCCCUUUGGUAUUCCGAAGGGCAUGUCUGUUUGAGCGUCAUUACAACUCCUCGUUAACAAAUUUUUUUUGUGAGCGGUCUUGAGCGUCUGGUGGCGUGCUUUGCGCACGGCCGGCUCUAAAGUAAAUGAAAUGCUCUGCCAGCCGUCUGGAAAAACUUUACGUAGUAACAACUUUACAACCGUUCAGCUUGAGAGACGUGCCCGGCCUGAAAAACCUCACCAACCUUUCUUAGGUUUGACCUCAGAUCAGACAAGGAUACCCGCUGAACUUAA